RNAcentral lists this ribosomal RNA (253 nucleotides) under uncultured bacterium. Its description in RNAcentral is "partial 16S ribosomal RNA". It matches the Rfam family "Bacterial small subunit ribosomal RNA", at positions 524 to 776 of the family's 1533-position model. The record is from RNAcentral.
UACGUAGGGUGCAAGCGUUGUCCGGAAUUAUUGGGCGUAAAGAGCUCGUAGGCGGUCAGUCGCGUCUGCUGUGAAAACUCGGGGCUUAACUCCGGGCCUGCAGUGGGUACGGGCUGACUAGAGUGCGGUAGGGGAGACUGGAAUUCCUGGCGUAGCGGUGAAAUGCGCAGAUAUCAGGAGGAACACCGGUGGCGAAGGCGGGUCUCUGGGCCGUAACUGACGCUGAGGAGCGAAAGCGUGGGGAGCGAACAGG